RNAcentral lists this ribosomal RNA (468 nucleotides) under uncultured bacterium. Its description in RNAcentral is "partial 16S ribosomal RNA". It matches the Rfam family "Bacterial small subunit ribosomal RNA", at positions 28 to 507 of the family's 1533-position model. The record is from RNAcentral.
GACGAACGCUGGCGGCGUGCUUAACACAUGCAAGUCGAACGGUGAAGCUCCAGCUUGCUGGAGUGGAUCAGUGGCGAACGGGUGAGUAACACGUGAGCAACCUGCCCCUGACUCUGGAAUAAGCGCUGGAAACGGCGUCUAAUACUGGAUACGAGAAGGGUCCGCAUGGGCACUUUCUGGAAAGUUUUUCGGUUGGGGAUGGGCUCGCGGCCUAUCAGCUUGUUGGUGAGGUAAUGGCUCACCAAGGCGACGACGGGUAGCCGGCCUGAGAGGGCGACCGGCCACACUGGGACUGAGACACGGCCCAGACUCCUACGGGAGGCUGCAGUGGGGAAUAUUGCACAAUGGGCGAAAGCCUGAUGCAGCGACGCCGCGUGAGGGAUGACGGCCUUCGGGUUGUAAACCUCUUUCAGCAGGGAAGAAGCGAAAGUGACGGUACCUGCAGAAGAAGCACCGGCUAACUACGUG